GUCUAUGGCCAUGCCACCCUGAACAAGCCCAAUCCUGUCUGAUCUCAGAAGUUAAGCAGGGUCGGGCCUAGUUAGUACUUGGAUGGGAGACCACCUAGGAAGAUCUGGUGCUGUAGGCA
This 119-nucleotide ribosomal RNA is filed under the name Pteropus alecto (black flying fox). The record is from RNAcentral. Lineage: Eukaryota; Metazoa; Chordata; Mammalia; Chiroptera; Pteropodidae.